This 253-nucleotide ribosomal RNA is filed under the name uncultured bacterium. RNAcentral's name for it is "partial 16S ribosomal RNA". It matches the Rfam family "Bacterial small subunit ribosomal RNA", at positions 524 to 776 of the family's 1533-position model. The record is from RNAcentral.
UACGUAGGUGGCAAGCGUUGUCCGGAUUUACUGGGCGUAAAGAGCGCGCAGGCGGUCGUUCAAGUCGCGUGUGAAAGCCCCCGGCUCAACUGGGGAGGGUCACGCGAUACUGAUCGACUCGAAGGCAGGAGAGGGUAGUGGAAUUCCCGGUGUAGUGGUGAAAUGCGUAGAUAUCGGGAGGAACACCAGUGGCGAAGGCGACUACCUGGCCCGAUACUGACGCUGAUGCACGAAAGCGUGGGGAGCAAACAGG